This 497-nucleotide ribosomal RNA is filed under the name uncultured bacterium. RNAcentral's name for it is "partial 16S ribosomal RNA". It matches the Rfam family "Bacterial small subunit ribosomal RNA", at positions 28 to 507 of the family's 1533-position model. The record is from RNAcentral.
GAUGAACGCUGGCGGCGUGCCUAAUACAUGCAAGUCGAGCGAACAGACGAGGAGCUUGCUCCUCUGACGGUAGCGGCGGACGGGUGAGUAACACGUGGAUAACCUACCUAUAAGACUGGGAUAACUUCGGGAAACCGGAGCUAAUACCGGAUAAUAUAUUGAACCGCAUGGUUCAAUAGUGAAAGACGGUUUUGCUGUCACUUAUAGAUGGAUCCGCGCCGCAUUAGCUAGUUGGUAAGGUAACGGCUUACCAAGGCAACGAUGCGUAGCCGACCUGAGAGGGUGAUCGGCCACACUGGAACUGAGACACGGUCCAGACUCCUACGGGAGGCAGCAGUAGGGAAUCUUCCGCAAUGGGCGAAAGCCUGACGGAGCAACGCCGCGUGAGUGAUGAAGGUCUUCGGAUCGUAAAACUCUGUUAUUAGGGAAGAACAAAUGUGUAAGUAACUAUGCACGUCUUGACGGUACCUAAUCAGAAAGCCACGGCUAACUACGUG